AUGAUAGAAGAGUUGGAAGCACUGAGGAAAAACAAGACGUGGGUGCUACCGGCAGGAAAGAAAGCAGUGAGUUGUAAGUGGAUCUAUACAGUGAAGCAGAAUCCUGAGGGGAAGGUGGAACGGUAUAAGGCCAGAUUUGUCGCCAGAGGAUAUAGUCAAACUUAUGGAAUGGACUAUGACGAGACGUUUGCUCCAGUGGCAAAGAUGAACACAGUAAGGAUAUUGGUUUCCUGUGCUGCAAACUUUGGGUGGAAGUUGCAUCAAUUAGAUGUCAAGAAUGCCUUCUUGCAUGGUGAGUUGAGGGAAGAAGUGUACAUGGAGAUACCACCAGGUUUUGGUACUUCACAGACCACGGGGAAGGUAUGCAGGCUGAAGAAAUCCUUGUAUGGACUGAAGCAAUCGCCGAGGGCUUGGUUCGAUAGGUUCAGAUGUGCUGUUCGUGCUAUGGGGUAUGGUCAAUGUAAUGGUGACCACACGGUGUUCUACAAACACUCACUCUCUGAUCGGAAGAUCACCAUCCUUGCAGUUUAUGUGGAUGACAUUAUCAUCACUGGAGAUGAUAAGGAGGAAAUAGAGAGAUUGAAGGGGUUCUAA
This 594-nucleotide ribosomal RNA is filed under the name Triticum aestivum (bread wheat). RNAcentral's name for it is "partial small subunit ribosomal RNA". Lineage: Eukaryota; Viridiplantae; Streptophyta; Magnoliopsida; Poales; Poaceae. The record is from RNAcentral.